Molecule: long non-coding RNA, 1041 nt
Organism: Toxorhynchites rutilus septentrionalis
Lineage: Eukaryota; Metazoa; Arthropoda; Insecta; Diptera; Culicidae
Exons: 3
Source: RefSeq, a predicted model, not a curated record
AGCAACUGUGUGUGUGCAAUCGCCAUUUGUCUAGUGGAAGCGAAACGAUUCGGAGCUUUUAUUCUUAGAAACAACAGCAAGGGUUCACGCAGUCGUAAAAACUGCACUAGCUGAUGAACAAUAUGCAACGGCGGUAGUUCCACAAUCUUAAACACAUCGUCACAACAACAAUGAUUCUACAGCAGUACUUGGCGACGAUACCCAGCUAAAACCAUCACCAUCAUUACCACCGACAGCAGCCCAUAAAUUCGGACGGAGAGAAAGCGAUAUAUGUGUCCCAUCUGCGAUAUAAUUUCAUCCGCAAAUCAUGACUUCAAAAAACCGUGUCCAAGGAUGAUGGGGAGGAUCAGUUUGUGUGGAAAAUUGGCUCCAAGGCGCUUCAUUGCUGGAUCGGUACAUGCUGCCUCCGCUCGGACAUGGAGUAGUAACAUUCCUAAUUCUGGUCGAAGCGCGGAGGACAUUAUUGGAUGCGCAACCGGAUAAUUUCGACCGCGACGGGAGCGUCGGCAAUCAAGCAAUCCGCCAAGGGAAAUAGACAAAGGUAAAGAUCCGUCGGCGAAGGCGAUCGAUAGUGGCAAGGACGAAAAAGAUUUGGCGCUGGUUUCGAAAUCGGUUGACAGUGCUACGAACAUGGCUAUUUUAGAUUUGAUGUUCCGUUGUCAUUUUCGAUUGGGAUUUCCAGUGAAAAUAGGUAAAUGCUUAAUUAUUUUUAAAAUAUUUUCGUUCUACUUUGUAGAAAUAUCGCUAUUCUGUGUGGUUGUCAUAUUUGACAACGUAUUCGCAUAAGAGACACCCGUAACCAGCGUGAGCCACAUCAAGGAAACGAAGAGCGUGCGACAUGCAUUAUCGAGGAUUACUGUUUUGGUGUCCCAUCCGAGUACGUACGACGGGGUGCCGAUUUCAGGAAAGCAGGAAAGGGAAAGGAAAACCUACAGAAAAAGGUUUUCAAUAAUUUUAUAAAAUUAAGAAUAGAAUAAGAACAUUAAUAAGAAUAAAAAUAUUCGCAAUAAAAAAUAAUUAUUUGAAAGUAUCGUCAUCAUC